This 3097-nucleotide ribosomal RNA is filed under the name human metagenome. RNAcentral's name for it is "bacterial LSU rRNA". It matches the Rfam family "Bacterial large subunit ribosomal RNA". The record is from RNAcentral.
UUUUGAGCGUUCGGUGGAUGCCUUGGCAUCAGGGGCCGAUGAAGGACGUGGUGGCCUGCGAUAUUCCUCGGGGAGCCGGCUGGCGGGCUGUGAUCCGAGGGUUUCCGAAUGGGGGGACCCGGCACGAGUUAUGUCGUGUCACCUGCAUCUGAAUUGUAUAGGGUGUGGGGGGUGACGCGGGGAAGUGAAACAUCUUAGUACCCGUAGGAGAAGAUAUUCCGUGAGUAGUGGCGAGCGAAAGCGGAUGAUGGUGAAACCGUGUGCGUGUGAUACUCGGCAGGGGUUGCGUGUGCGGGGUUGUGGGGCUGUCCUGUUGGUCUUCUGCCGGAGACCGGGCGCGUGUGCUGGCUGGUAGCUGAAUCGUCUGGGAAGGCGUGGCGUAGUGGGUGAUACCCCCGUAGGCGGAACUGGUUGGUGUGUGUCUGGGGUGGUGCCCGAGUAGCACGGGGCUCGUGGAAUCCUGUGUGAAUCUGCCAAGACCACUUGGCUGCCUGAAUACCUCCUGAUGACCGAUAGUGGAUAGUACCGUGAGGGAAUGGUGAAAAGUACCCCGGGAGGGGAGUGAAAUAGUACCUGAAACCGGGCGCUUGCAAGCCGUCAGAGCCUUCCAUGCUUGUUGUGUGUGGGGGUGGUGGCGUGCCUUUUGAAGAAUGAGCCUGCGAGUCAGUGGCGUGUCGCGAGGUUAACCCGUGUGGGGUAGCCGUAGCGAGAGCGAGUCCGAACAGGGCGAGUGUAGUGGCGCGUUCUGGACCCGAAGCGGGGUGAUCUACCCAUGGCCAGGUUGAAGCACGUGUAAGAGCGUGUGGAGGACCGAACCCACCUAGGUUGAAAACUGGGGGGAUGAGCUGUGGGUAGGGGUGAAAGGCCAAUCAAACUCCGUGAUAGCUGGUUCUCCCCGAAAUGCAUUUAGGUGCAGCGUCGCGUGUUGCCCGGCGGAGGUAGAGCUACUGGGUGGCUGAUGGGCCCCACAGGGUUACUGACGUCAACCAAACUCCGAAUGCCGUGCGGGUUGUAGCGUGGCAGUGAGACUGCGGGGGAUAAGCUCCGUGGUCGAGAGGGAAACAGCCCAGAUCGCCGGCUAAGGCCCCUAAGCGUGUGCUAAGUGGGAAAGGAUGUGCGGUCGCGCAGACAACCAGGAGGUUGGCUUAGAAGCAGCCAUCCUUGAAAGAGUGCGUAAUAGCUCACUGGUCAAGUGAUUCUGCGCCGAUAAUGUAGCGGGGCUCAAGUACACCGCCGAAGUUGUGGCAAUCAGUCUUUGUGGCUGGUUGGGUAGGGGAGCGUCCUGCACGAGGUGAAGCUGCCACGGGAGUGUGUGGUGGAUUGUGUGGGAGUGAGAAUGCAGGCAUGAGUAGCGAAUCACGGGUGAGAAACCCGUGCGCCGGAUGAUCAAGGGUUCCAGGGUCAAGUUAAUCUGCCCUGGGUUAGUCGGGGCCUAAGGCGAGGCCGACAGGCGUAGUCGAUGGAGAACGGGUUGAUAUUCCCGUACCAGUGAAGGACCGUCCAUACUGAUAUUGUGAUGCUAACCAUGCCGAUCACGGUGUCAUGAAGUUUUUCUUUGUGGUGUUGUGGGGUGUGUGGGACCCAAGCUUUGGAGGUAAGCGUGUUAACAGGUGUGACGCAGGAAGGUAGCCAAGCCACGCGGUGGUUGUCGUGGUCUAAGCGUGUAGGAUGACUGGUUGUUAAAUGCGCCGGUUGUGUGUCUGAGACGUGAUGGGACCCCUUGUUUGUGGGGGAUUUGGUGAUCCUAUGCUGCCGAGAAAAGCAUCGGCGUGAGGUUUUAGCUGCCCGUACCCGAAACCGACACAGGUGAUCAGGUAGAGAAUACUAAGGCGAUCGAGAGAAUCAUGGUUAAGGAACUCGGCAAAAUGCCCCCGUAACUUCGGGAGAAGGGGGGCCCUGAGCGUGAUCUGCCCGUGCGGUGGGGAGCGUGUAGGGGUCGCAGAGACCAGGGGGAAGCGACUGUUUAUCAAAAACACAGGUCCGUGCGAAGUCGUAAGACGAGGUAUACGGACUGACUCCUGCCCGGUGCUGGAAGGUUAAGAGGAUUGGUUAGCCCUGUGUGGGCGAAGCUGAGAAUUUAAGCCCCAGUAAACGGCGGUGGUAACUAUAACCAUCCUAAGGUAGCGAAAUUCCUUGUCGGGUAAGUUCCGACCUGCACGAAUGGCGUAACGACUUCCCCGCUGUCUCAACCAUGAGCUCGGCGAAAUUGCAGUACGAGUAAAGAUGCUCGUUUCGCGCAGAAGGACGGAAAGACCCCGGGACCUUUACUACAGCUUGGUAUUGGCGCCCGCUAUAGCUUGUGCAGGAUAGGUGGGAGACGUUGAAGCCGUUACGCCAGUAGCGGUGGAGUCGUCCUUGAAAUACCACUCUGGUUAUGGCGUGCGCCUGAACCUGGGCCCGUGAUCCGGGUUAGGGACAGUGCCUGGUGGGUAGUUUAACUGGGGCGGUUGCCUCCUAAAGUGUAACGGAGGCGCUCAAAGGUUCCCUCAGCCUGGUCGGCAACCAGGUGUUGAGUGCAAGUGCACAAGGGAGCUUGACUGUGAGACCGACGGGUCGAGCAGGUACGAAAGUAGGAACUAGUGAUCCGGCGAUCCCGUGUGGGUGGGUCGUCGCUCAACGGAUAAAAGGUACCCCGGGGAUAACAGGCUGAUCCUGCCCAAGAGUCCAUAUCGACGGCAUGGUUUGGCACCUCGAUGUCGGCUCGUCGCAUCCUGGGGCUGGAGCAGGUCCCAAGGGUUGGGCUGUUCGCCCAUUAAAGCGGUACGCGAGCUGGGUUUAGAACGUCGUGAGACAGUUCGGUCCCUAUCCUCUGCGCGCGCAGGAGACUUGAGAAGGCCUGUCCCUAGUACGAGAGGACCGGGACGGACGAACCUCUGGUGUGCCAGUUGUCCCGCCCGGGGCACGGCUGGUUGGCUACGUUCGGGAAGGGUAACCGCUGAAAGCAUCUAAGCGGGAAACCAUCUUCAAGAUAAGGUCUCCACAAGAAGGACUUGUCCUUCUUGGUAGGCCCCCAGCAGACUACUGGGUUGAUAGGCCAGAAGUGGAAGACCGGUAACGGUUGGAGCUGACUGGUACUAAUAGGCCAACACAAACAACA